This 561-nucleotide ribosomal RNA is filed under the name uncultured bacterium. Its description in RNAcentral is "bacterial SSU rRNA". It matches the Rfam family "Bacterial small subunit ribosomal RNA", at positions 56 to 616 of the family's 1533-position model. The record is from RNAcentral.
UGCAGUCGACGGUAACAGAACUAGCUUGCUAGUUGCUGACGAGUGGCGGACGGGUGAGUAAUACUUAGGGAUCUGCCUCUGUGUGGGGGAUAACUAUUGGAAACGAUAGCUAAUACCGCAUAACGUCUACGGACCAAAGAGGGCUUCGGCUCUCGCGCAGAGAGGAACCUAAGCGAGAUUAGCUUGUUGGUGAGGUAAAGGCCUACCAAGGCGACGAUCUCUAACUGGUCUGAGAGGAUGACCAGUCACACUGGGACUGAGACACGGCCCAGACUCCUACGGGAGGCAGCAGUGGGGAAUAUUGGACAAUGGGCGCAAGCCUGAUCCAGCCAUGCCGCGUGUGUGAAGAAGGCCUUAGGGUUGUAAAGCACUUUCAGGGGUGAGGAAGGGUGAGUCGCUAAUAUCGACUUAUCUUGACGUUAGCCCCAGAAAAAGCACCGGCUAACUACGUGCCAGCAGCCGCGGUAAUACGUAGGGUGCAAGCGUUGUCCGGAAUUAUUGGGCGUAAAGAGCUCGUAGGCGGUUUGUCACGUCUGCUGUGAAAUUUCGAGGCUCAACCUC